AACUUUGUGCAGUGGCAGUAUUGUAGCUAAUGAGGUUUAUCUGAAGUGCAAUAAUUAUUAAUUGAAAACUUUUCCCUAAAAAA
Molecule: small nuclear RNA, 83 nt
Filed under: Otolemur garnettii (small-eared galago)
Lineage: Eukaryota; Metazoa; Chordata; Mammalia; Primates; Galagidae
Description: U4 spliceosomal RNA
Rfam family: U4 spliceosomal RNA
About the family: U4 small nuclear RNA (U4 snRNA) is a component of the major U2-dependent spliceosome.
Source: Rfam by way of RNAcentral